GACGAACGCUGGCGGCGCGCCUAACACAUGCAAGUCGAACGAGAGAGAGGGAGCUUGCUUCCUCAAUCGAGUGGCGAACGGGUGAGUAACGCGUGAGGAACCUGCCUCAAAGAGGGGGACAACAGUUGGAAACGACUGCUAAUACCGCAUAAGCCCACGACCCGGCAUCGGGAAGAGGGAAAAGGAGCAAUCCGCUUUGAGAUGGCCUCGCGUCCGAUUAGCUAGUUGGUGAGGUAACGGCCCACCAAGGCGACGAUCGGUAGCCGGACUGAGAGGUUGAACGGCCACAUUGGGACUGAGACACGGCCCAGACUCCUACGGGAGGCAGCAGUGGGGAAUAUUGCACAAUGGGGGAAACCCUGAUGCAGCGACGCCGCGUGGAGGAAGAAGGUCUUCGGGAUUGGUAAACUCCUGUUGUUGAGGAAGAUAAUGACGGUACUCAACAAGGAAGUGACGGCUAACUACGUG
This 468-nucleotide ribosomal RNA is filed under the name uncultured bacterium. RNAcentral describes it as "bacterial SSU rRNA". It matches the Rfam family "Bacterial small subunit ribosomal RNA", at positions 28 to 507 of the family's 1533-position model. The record is from RNAcentral.